AUUUUAUUAGUAUAAUUAGUAUAUUUGUUUUCCAAACAAACGGUUUAAGAUUUUUAAAUAAAGUA
This 65-nucleotide transfer RNA is filed under the name Rossia macrosoma. Its description in RNAcentral is "tRNA-Gly". The record is from RNAcentral. Lineage: Eukaryota; Metazoa; Mollusca; Cephalopoda; Sepiida; Sepiolidae.